GGUAACCCCCUUGGAUCCCCUUCCACACUGUGGGAGGUUUGUUCUUUUGCUCUUUGCAAUAAAGCUUGCUGCUGCUCACUCUUUGGGUCCAGACUGUCUUUAUGAGCUAUAACACUCACCGGGAAGGUCUGCAGCUUCACUCCUGAAGCCAAGGAGACCACGAACCCACCGGGAGGAAGGAACAACUACAGACACGCCGGCUUAAGAGCUGUAGCACUCACUGCGAAGGUCCGCAGCUUCACUCUUGAGCCAGAGACCACGAACCCACCAGAAGGAAGAAACUCCAAACACAUCCGAACAUCAGAAGGAAAAAACUCCAGACACGCCGCCUUUAAGAACUGCAACACUGCGAGGGUCCGCGGCUUCAUUCUUGAAGUCAGUGAGACCAAGAACCCACCAAUUCCAGACACACUACCAAAGGCAGAGGGGAGCUCCUAGACAAAGAUAUUUUGCUUACAAAUGGAACAUAUCAAAUCAAGCUUUUGUGAACUUGAGGGAAGAAACAAAGAAUAUGAAGCCUAAAUGGAAGUGUCAGGAAAUGGUCGCCUUGCGGACAAGGAAACAGCAGCCUGGAAGGCCAGGAGAGGGCAGACUACCCACCUAACCCUCUGCAGAAUUUUGUGUGGACCCUGGAGACCAGAAACUAACUUCUCCUGCAGGCUGGAGUGUAGUGGUACGAUCUUGGCUUACUGCAACCUCCACCUCCUGGGUUCAAGCGGCCCUGUCAUCUCAGCCUCCUGAGUAGCUGGGGUUACAGAGCUCCUUUCUGACAACUUGCAAUUGAUCCAACAUUUGAAACCUUAUGCAGGAGCCGGACAGCUUGGUUUUGAAUUAUAAUCUUACAAAUUACUGGCUGUGUGUUAAAUCUUUAAAUUACUGGCUGUGUGACUUUGUGUAAGUACCUUCACUUCUCUGUGCCUUAGUUUAUGUUAUGUAAAAGGUAUGAUAAUAGUAUCUAUCUUGGAAUUUAGUUUUUAAAUAUAAAAUUUAUAUAUCUACAACAGCUGAAUAAGUGUUAUCUAUCUUUAUUACCAUUGCAAUUAUUAUUAUAAUUAUUUGUAUAUGUCGGGCUCAUAAAGCUCUUAGCUUUGCAAAACUGUCUGAGAAAGUUUGCUUUUCUUUGCAUUCAUUGGGAAAUUAACUUUUCUACACAAUAAUGUUUUUAAGGCAUGGACCUGUAAAAUGUUUAAUUGGUGUGGCUUCAAAGUAUAGAAAUUGUAAAGUAGGAAAUAAUUAUACACAACUAUCAAACCAAUAAUAAAGGUCAAUAAAUAUUCAAACAGUAUUAAUAUAA
Molecule: long non-coding RNA, 1294 nt
Filed under: Homo sapiens (human)
Lineage: Eukaryota; Metazoa; Chordata; Mammalia; Primates; Hominidae
Description: long intergenic non-protein coding RNA 2506
Source: RNAcentral